ACGAACGCUGGCGGCGUGCCUAAUACAUGCAAGUAGAACGCUGAAGAGAGGAGCUUGCUCUUCUUGGAUGAGUUGCGAACGGGUGAGUAACGCGUAGGUAACCUGCCUUGUAGCGGGGGAUAACUAUUGGAAACGAUAGCUAAUACCGCAUAACAAUGGAUGACACAUGUCAUUUAUUUGAAAGGGGCAAUUGCUCCACUACAAGAUGGACCUGCGUUGUAUUAGCUAGUAGGUGAGGUAACGGCUCACCUAGGCGACGAUACAUAGCCGACCUGAGAGGGUGAUCGGCCACACUGGGACUGAGACACGGCCCAGACUCCUACGGGAGGCAGCAGUAGGGAAUCUUCGGCAAUGGGGGCAACCCUGACCGAGCAACGCCGCGUGAGUGAAGAAGGGUUUCGGAUCGUAAAGCUCUGUUGUAAGUCAAGAACGAGUGUGAGAGUGGAAAGUUUACACUGUGACGGUAGCUUACCAGAAAGGGACGGCUAACUACGUG
This 496-nucleotide ribosomal RNA is filed under the name uncultured bacterium. RNAcentral's name for it is "partial 16S ribosomal RNA". It matches the Rfam family "Bacterial small subunit ribosomal RNA", at positions 29 to 507 of the family's 1533-position model. The record is from RNAcentral.